RNAcentral lists this ribosomal RNA (557 nucleotides) under uncultured bacterium. Its description in RNAcentral is "bacterial SSU rRNA". It matches the Rfam family "Bacterial small subunit ribosomal RNA", at positions 102 to 694 of the family's 1533-position model. The record is from RNAcentral.
ACGGGUGAGUAACGCGUGGGAAUCUACCCAUCUCUGCGGAAUAGCUCUGGGAAACUGGAAUUAAUACCGCAUACGCCCUACGGGGGAAAGAUUUAUCGGGGAUGGAUGAGCCCGCGUCGGAUUAGCUAGUUGGUGGGGUAAAGGCCUACCAAGGCGACGAUCCAUAGCUGGUCUGAGAGGAUGAUCAGCCACAUUGGGACUGAGACACGGCCCAAACUCCUACGGGAGGCAGCAGUGGGGAAUAUUGGACAAUGGGCGCAAGCCUGAUCCAGCCAUGCCGCGUGAGUGAUGAAGGCCUUAGGGUUGUAAAGCUCUUUCACCGAUGAAGAUAAUGACGGUAGUCGGAGAAGAAGCCCCGGCUAACUUCGUGCCAGCAGCCGCGGUAAUACGAAGGGGGCUAGCGUUGUUCGGAAUUACUGGGCGUAAAGCGCACGUAGGCGGAUAUUUAAGUCAGGGGUGAAAUCCCGCAGCUCAACUGCGGAACUGCCUUUGAUACUGGGUAUCUUGAGUAUGGAAGAGGUAAGUGGAAUUCCGAGUGUAGAGGUGAAAUUCGUAGA